GGCAACUGGUGUGUCUCCUGGUCUUCAAAACCAGUGUGGGGCGCUAAUACCGUCCCGGGUGGGUUCGAUUCCCACAUGCUUCC
This 83-nucleotide transfer RNA is filed under the name chicken gut metagenome. RNAcentral describes it as "Selenocysteine transfer RNA". It matches the Rfam family "Selenocysteine transfer RNA", at positions 12 to 91 of the family's 91-position model. The record is from RNAcentral.